This 221-nucleotide ribosomal RNA is filed under the name uncultured bacterium. RNAcentral describes it as "partial 16S ribosomal RNA". It matches the Rfam family "Bacterial small subunit ribosomal RNA", at positions 111 to 334 of the family's 1533-position model. The record is from RNAcentral.
UAAUACAUCGGAACAUGCCCAGUCGUGGGGGAGUAACACUUCGAAAGAAGUGCUAAUACCGCAUACGUCCUGAGGGAGAAAGCGGGGGAUCGCAAGACCUCGCGCGAUUAGAGUGGCCGAUGUCAGAUUAGCUAGUUGGUGGGGUAAAGGCCUACCAAGGCAACGAUCUGUAGCUGGUCUGAGAGGAUGAUCAGCCACACUGGGACUGAGACACGGCCCAG